Molecule: ribosomal RNA, 460 nt
Filed under: uncultured bacterium
Lineage: Bacteria
Description: partial 16S ribosomal RNA
Rfam family: Bacterial small subunit ribosomal RNA
Source: RNAcentral
CCUACGGGUGGCAGCAGUGAGGAAUAUUGGUCAAUGGGCGAGAGCCUGAACCAGCCAAGUCGCGUGAAGGAUGACGGCCCUACGGGUUGUAAACUUCUUUUGUCAGGGAGCAAUUGAGUCCACGUGUGGUCUUAGCGAGAGUACCUGAAGAAAAAGCAUCGGCUAACUCCGUGCCAGCAGCCGCGGUCAUACGGAGGAUGCGAGCGUUAUCCGGAUUUAUUGGGUUUAAAGGGUGCGUAGGCGGAAUAUCAAGUCAGCGGUAAAAAUUCGGGGCUCAACCCCGUCGUGCCGUUGAAACUGAUGUUCUGGAGUGGGCGAGAGGUAGGCGGAAUGCGUGGUGUAGCGGUGAAAUGCAUAGAUAUCAGGCAGAACACCGAUUGCGAAGGCAGCAUACCGGCGCCCAACUGACGCUGAAGCACGAAAGCGUGGGUAUCGAACAGGAUUAGAUACCCGGGUAGUC